GGCGAACGCUGGCGGCGUGCUUAACACAUGCAAGUCGAACGGAAAGGCCCUGCUUUUGUGGGGUGCUCGAGUGGCGAACGGGUGAGUAACACGUGAGUAACCUGCCCUUGACUUUGGGAUAACUUCAGGAAACUGGGGCUAAUACCGGAUAGGAGCUCCUGCUGCAUGGUGGGGGUUGGAAAGUUUCGGCGGUUGGGGAUGGACUCGCGGCUUAUCAGCUUGUUGGUGGGGUAGUGGCUUACCAAGGCUUUGACGGGUAGCCGGCCUGAGAGGGUGACCGGACACAUUGGGACUGAGAUACGGCCCAGACUCCUACGGGAGGCAGCAGAGGGGAAUAUUGCACAAUGGGCGGAAGCCUGAUGCAGCAACGCCGCGUGCGGGAUGACGGCCUUCGGGUUGGAAACCGCUUUCGCCUGUGACGAAGCGUGAGUGACGGUAAUGGGUAAAGAAGCACCGGCUAACUACGUG
This 468-nucleotide ribosomal RNA is filed under the name uncultured bacterium. RNAcentral's name for it is "partial 16S ribosomal RNA". It matches the Rfam family "Bacterial small subunit ribosomal RNA", at positions 28 to 507 of the family's 1533-position model. The record is from RNAcentral.